UACUGGACGAUGAAGAUGCCCGAAACGGUGAGCACGCGCAUGACGCGGCGCAUGUCGCGGAGCCUGCACGGGCUGAUGCCGGCCUCGGCGAGUAUCUGGGGCAGGGUGGCGGAGCCGCCGAGGCGGUGGACGGCGUCGGCGAUGCCGAGGUCCAAGGCGAUGGCGAGCGCGGCGGACUUGAAGAAGCCGAGGGACUGAUGCCAGAGCUGGAGCUCGGCCUGGAGCAGCUCCUGGCUGCUGUACUCGGCGAGCAAUGCCAUUACUGCCCCGAUCGACCAAUCAGUCGAUCUUGAUGGCUGGUUCUUUCUUGUUCAGGGGUUGCUGAGCUUUGGGUGGAGCCAUACACGCAUCGGGUACUUAUAGUUGCAUGGCAGCUUGGUUAAGAGGGUGUUUGGGAGAAGGGGGUUAAACUUUAGCCUUGUCACAUCGGAUGUUCGGAUACUAAUUAGGAGGACUAAAUAUAAGCUAAUUACAAAACUAAUUGCAGAACCCCUAAGCUAAAUCGCAAGACGAAUCUAUUAACCCUAACUAAUUAGGCUUAAUAGAUUCGUCUCGCGAUUUAACCUAGGGGUUGUGUAAUUAGUUUUGUAAUUAGUCUAGGUUUAAUACUCCUAACUAGUGUCCAAACAUUCGAUGUGACGGGAGCUAAAAUUUAGCCCCCUCCUCCCAAACACCUACCCCCAACGAACAUGAGCAUUAUUCUACAAGCUCUCAUUGGCUGUAUAUGCAAGCAUGUGCAGCCUUGGAAAUCAAGACGAUAUCCCAGCCGGUGCCCAGUUGACUUUGAAAGGAGGAACGAGUCAUGAGAGAUUUUUUGAAAAUAGAAUGAUAGGCUGCUUCUGCAUAUGUACUUAUAUACCAAUGAAAACUAAUUGUAUAUAUAGGGAAUUUUGAAGCACUUAGUCAACUACUAGCUGCAGUAGCUUGAAUGGUCGCAUUACAUAUGCACACGGCAGCUACUUACCCCUUGUUUACUUUCCAAUUUGGGAUAGGCAAAAUUGACAUUUUGCCAUAAAUGCGUAACUGUAGCGUUUCGUUUGUAUUUGUGAAUUAUUGUCUAAAUAUUGACUAAUUAGGCUCAAAAGAUUCGUCUCGCAAAGUACAACGAAAUUGUGUAAUUAGUUUUUGAUUUCGUCUACAUUUAGUACUCCAUGCAUGUACCGCAAGUUUGAUGUGAUGGUGAAUCUUCUUUUUGCAUAGUGUCAAAGUUGGGUGUUUGGGAGAAGGGGGCUAAACUUUAGCCUUGUCACAUCGGAUGUUCGGAUACUAAUUAGGAGGACUAAACAUAAGCUAAUUACAAAACUAAUUGCAGAACCCCUAGGCUAAAUCGCGAGACGAAUCUAUUAAGCCUAAUUAAUCCAUCAUUAGUGAAUGGUUACUGUAGCACCGCAUUGUCAAAUCAUGGACUAAUUAGGCUUAAUAGAUUCGUCUCGCGAUUUAGCCUAGGGGUUGUGUAAUUAGUCUAGGUUUAAUACUCCUAACUAGUGUCCAAACAUUCGAUGUGACGGGGGUUAAAAUUUAGCCCCCUCCUCCCAAACACCUACCCCAACGAACAUGAGCAUUAUUCUACAAGCUCUCAUUGGCUGUAUAUGCAAGCAUGUGCAGCCCUGGAAAUCAAGACGAUAUCCCAGCCGGUGCCCAGUUGACUUUGAAAGGAGGAACGAGUCAUGAGAGAUUUUUUGAAAAUAGAAUGAUAGGCUGCUUCUGCAUAUGUACUUAUAUACCAAUGAAAACUAAUUGUAUAUAUAGGGAAUUUUGAAGCACUUAGUCAACUCCUAGCUGCAGUAGCUUGAAUGGUCGUAUUACAUACGCACACGGCAGCUACUUACCCCUCGUUUACUUCCCAAUUUGGGAUAGGCAAAAUUGACAUUUUGUCAUAAAUGCGCAACUGUAGCGUUUCGUUUGUAUUUGUGAAUUAUUGUCUAAAUAUUGACUAAUUAGGCUCAAAAGAUUCGUCUCGCAAAGUACAACGAAAUUGUGUAAUUAGUUUUUGAUUUCGUCUACAUUUAGUACUCCAUGCAUGUACCGCAAGUUUAAUGUGAUGAAGAAUCUUCUUUUUGCAUAGUGUCAAAGUUGGGAGUUUGGAGGGAAGUAAACAAGGGGUUAGUUUAGGCUGCUAGGUGACCGCGAGCGGAAGCUUACGUUGCCUUGGUCAGAAUUCGAGCUAUAUAGAGAGGAGAGGCUGCGCGCUGCGCCAAGGUAUCAAUCAAUCUUAUCCUUGACCGUGAUGGCUGAAGAAGUCUUCCAUGUCUGCGCCUGCAAACUACUAAACAAAUCUUUAUCCUUGGUCAGAAUUCGAGCUGUAUAGAGAGGAGAGGCUGCGCGUAGAUCUCUAUCAUGAAUGCACAUGUAUAUCAAGCAUAAGUACUUGCAAACCAAUCAUUGAGUCUUUCACCGUUGCACGGUUUUGUUUUUAAAAGUAUGUUUGCAACUAGUCACUUCUGAAGGUAUUUGCAAUUGCAAAAAUAGUUUCUAACGUCUAUUACCGAAAAAAUUGUCCUUUUGCAUCUUAGUUUUUAAUUAUGUUGAGUUUGACAAUGAAAUUUUAUGGAUGCAUAUAUCAUGCUCAUCCCCAUCUAUAGUAAAAUUUAUAAAAUAUUCUCAAACCUUUUAAGUAGAGUGAAAAUUAAAUCCACAUUCUUGUGUCGUUUACACCACCUAUAUACUUCACCCAAGAAUGCAAUCAAAUAUGCUCACCCACCUACUGCUAGAUGUGCCUCUUCAAUAUUCAACUUAUUUUUCAUGGCUGUCCUCUCCUUAUGUCGACUGCUUCCGACGCUGCAUUGUGCACCACCGUAGUCGCUGUGCUUCCUUCGUCUCCGGUGACGAUGACAAUGCCUGCUUUGCCGCCACCAUUUUUCAGCGUGGUGGUUGUCCGAUUUCGAGUGAGAAGCAGUGUACAUCUCUAAGGCAGAUUCAUUUUUCACCGAUCCUCCAUCUGAGAAGAAGAGGAAAAGGAAGAGGAGGAGGAAGAGGAAGGAGAAGCAAGAUGACGUUGCUGCCAGAAAGCCUGAUGACAUGGAUUUGAACAUAAAUGACGACGACAUGGUAGAUUAGCAAACACAGUGGAAUAAAAACUAGACUCAAGUAUGUGCCCUUCAUGUAUACUUUGAGCAAAGCACUAUACAUGUGCAAACUUUUUUCCAGGUCUAAGUAGGCAAGCACCAAAGUAAUAAAACAGGUUUUACUCCUUUUGUAGGGUCAGAUGCCCGAAUAUGAAUCCCCCACAUAUGUAUAGGGCCACUUAUUGGACACUAUGCAUCUUAACAAUAAUUCAGAACCAGUAUAUAUAUAAUUUUGUGAUGUCUUAUUCUUUGGAUGGUGUUCUGUUCACCAAGCUUUCAAGGAUAGAGCUCGAUAACAGAUCGAACACCGAGAACAGGUAUAAUUUUGUAGUCCUUGAAUCCAGCCUCGAAGAAAAUCUUCUUCCACUCUUGCUCAUCUCGUUCAACUCCAUUGAUGUUCAUGAUUAAGAGGUCAUACAAAACUUGUGUCUCUGCAUGCUUGAUAUCAUCUGACGGCCCAGAUCCGACCACCAUAUCUAUUAUUAUUAUCUUUCCUCCAGCAUCUCGUGGAGAUAUAGCUUGUUUGCAGUUCUUCAAUAUCUUGACACACUCGUCAUCGCGCCAAUCAUGCAAAAUCCACUGAAAAAAACAAGCAAUCAUGCAUCAAUUUUCAAUCCAUACAUAAAUUAAACAUACAAUAGCUUAGGGCAUUUGCUGGUUGCUGUCAGUAAUGUGCAUUCGAAACAUUUGGGUAUUGGGAUGUACCUUGAGGAACACAGCGUUCGCCGGUGGAAUACUCUCAAACACGUCACCAGCAACGUAGUGCACGUCAGUACCAGAGGGAGCUUUUGCGACGACCUGUGGGAGAUCCAGCACGGUGCACUUCAAAUCCGGGAACGCCGCUGCUAUGGUCGCAGCGGCCCCGCCAAGGCCGCCGGCGACAUCGACGAGGGAGGUUAGCCCACGGAAGACCUCGGCGCACUCCCUGAGGACGAUCGGCAUCAGGAAGGCGGUGUCCGCGGCCAUGGCGUCGUUGAACCGGAACGCGGCGGCGUCAUGUUCCGCUCUCUCCCAGACCGUCUGGCCGCCGUACGCCAUGGCGAACGGGGACAGACCCGGCUGCUGCUGGUCGCCCUGCUGCCGGAACCACUUGCGCAUGCCCAUGCUAACCGGAGAAUCUCGGACCGGCCCGAGCAAGAGCUGCACGGUCAGGAAAUGAGGCAGUUGGCCCGUCGCCGUCGAGCUCUUGUCCCUGACGAGGAGGCGGGAGGCCGCUGUCAGCUUGUAGACCGCGGCGUCGUGCCUGCUUUCUGCCGCCGCCGCCGCCGCCGCCUCGUCCGGGUGCUGGACGAUGAAGAUGCCCGAAACGGUGAGCACGCGCAUGACGCGGCGCAUGUCGCGGAGCCUGCACGGGCUGAUCCCGGCCUCGGCGAGUAUCUGGGGCAGGGUGGCGGCGCCGCCGAGGCGGUGGACGGCGUCGGCGAUGCGGAGGUCCAAGGCGAUGGCGAGCGCGGCGGACUUGAAGAAGCCGAGGGACUGGUGCCAGAGCUGGAGCUCGGCCUGGAGCAGCUCCUGGCUGCUGUACUCGGCGAGCAAUGCCAUUACUGCCCCGAUCGACCAAUCAGUCGAUCUUGAUGGCUA
Molecule: long non-coding RNA, 4646 nt
Filed under: Setaria viridis
Lineage: Eukaryota; Viridiplantae; Streptophyta; Magnoliopsida; Poales; Poaceae
Description: long non-coding RNA (SVIR_LNC011224)
Source: RNAcentral